RNAcentral lists this ribosomal RNA (160 nucleotides) under uncultured bacterium. RNAcentral's name for it is "partial 16S ribosomal RNA". It matches the Rfam family "Bacterial small subunit ribosomal RNA", at positions 370 to 528 of the family's 1533-position model. The record is from RNAcentral.
AAUGGAGGCAACUCUGACCAGCCAUGCCGCGUGCAGGAAGACGGCCUUAUGGGUUGUAAACUGCUUUUAUACGGGAAUAAACCUUGAUUCGUGAAUCGAGCUGAAUGUACCGUAAGAAUAAGGAUCGGCUAACUCCGUGCCAGCAGCCGCGGUAAUACGA